CUACGGGACGCUCCAGUGGGAAUAUUGGGCAAUGGGCGAAAGCCUGACCCAGCAACGCCGCGUGAAGGAAGAAGGUUUUCGGAUCGUAAACUUCUAUCCCGGGUGAAGAUAAUGACGGUAGCCCGGAAGGAAGCCCCGGCUAACUACGUGCCAGCAGCCGCGGUAAUACGUAGGGGGCAAGCGUUGUCCGGAAUGAUUGGGCGUAAAGGGCGCGUAGGCGGCCUUUUAAGUCCGGUGUGAAAGUCCUGCUUUUAAGGUGGGAAUUGCAUUGGAAACUGGAAGGCUUGAGUGCAGGAGAGGUAAGUGGAAUUCCCGGUGUAGCGGUGAAAUGCGUAGAGAUCGGGAGGAACACCAGUGGCGAAGGCGACUUACUGGACUGUAACUGACGCUGAGGCGCGAAAGUGUGGGGAGCAAACAGGAUUAGAUACCCUUGUAGUC
This 438-nucleotide ribosomal RNA is filed under the name uncultured bacterium. Its description in RNAcentral is "partial 16S ribosomal RNA". It matches the Rfam family "Bacterial small subunit ribosomal RNA", at positions 339 to 795 of the family's 1533-position model. The record is from RNAcentral.